Long non-coding RNA from Passer domesticus (house sparrow), 1626 nucleotides. RefSeq lists it as uncharacterized. NCBI's taxonomy places the organism in Eukaryota, Metazoa, Chordata, Aves, Passeriformes, Passeridae. The record is from RefSeq and is a predicted model, not a curated record. The transcript is spliced from 2 exons.
GCUCUCUGCCUUGAUAACACUUCCAUAAGCAAAUCCUCUCUGCCAGGAAGAUUUAUUUACGAUCUAAAAAGGAGAAACAAAAGCCUGUUAAAGACUUGCUGAUAACUUCAAAGAAGAAAACAUUUACAAAGGCCAAAAUGCAUUUGCUCCUGUAGCAUCAAUAUCCUGACAAGGGAAUCGAGUUUUGAGCAGUCAUAUUGCUACUUGCAGAAAAGUAUGAGAAAGAGGUAUGUUUUAAGGACACUUUUCUGAAAAUACUGUCAGAAAUUCAAUACACUAGAGGUGUUAAUGAAGUGUUAGUCCCUCUGCCCAGUGUUUUGCAGCACUGGGUACUUCAGCACUUACCCAUCUGGCACUGGUACAUGUUCCGUGGACUUUGGUUGUGGUCGGAGAAGGGAAUGAGGUUGGCCACCACGCUCAAGAUGCUGUGAGGGAAGAGUUCCUGGUGAGUGGUCACUCCAGGCACCACCUCUGAGUCCAUUGUGGCCACGUUCAUGAAAAUCUGUGAACAUCAAAUUGGAUAAUGCUUGUUCACUUCCUGCUUUUAAAGGGAAGGAAACAAAACAAAGCUGUUUCCAAUAGUUUUCUGUUCAUUUCAGUUUUAGCUUUGGUUGUUGCCUGCAUUGUAGUUGUAUUAGCAAGACAAAUCAGACAGCUGGUAAACCACCUAUCACAGAUCAAGUGCAUGGGAAGGAAGCCUGAAAUACAAAACUGCAGUAACGUGUCCUCCUUUCUGUCUCCCACUUUAAUAGUUCCACGUGCAUGAGCUCCCAACAAUCCACUGCCUGGCUGCCCAGGAGCCAUUUGGCAAACAUGAUGUAACACAAGGUGACAUGGUACACACAACACAGCAAUCCUUCACCUCAAAUCUUCACAAAGUUAAUACCGAGAGCAGAUCCGAAGAUCUCAAAAAGAUCUCUACAGUCCAGCAAUGACAUUUAACACAAAUCAAUUUGCAGGAGUGAAAACCCCCUUUCAUCAUGUAUUCUAGCUCUUCAACACAAGUCUCAUCCUCAGCUCCUUUCAUAAAUGUUUACCAAACCCAAUUUUGAUGCCAGGUACCUCUGUACCAUGGGAAUGUGCAAACCCCACCUGUUCCAGGGUCCCAAUCCAUUCAUUCUUUCCAUAGGACAGGUUUCUGACCGGCCGCACCAUCCGGCAAGGGUUAGUGAAAAUGAAGAGCCCAGGAUACAGGCUGGGUUUUCCUGUCAUUGGGAUAAGGACCACUUCUGCCCGUGCAGGAAAUCUCUUCUCUUGUGUUAUCUGUUGGUGCAAAGAAAUAACAAUCUAGAAACACAAACCAAGUUUAACUAAACUGCAUCCACCUGGUCACACAAUGAUAAUGUCAGCCACAGGUGUAGCCACUAAUAAAAAGUUAUGGAGAAGAGUUCUUAGAAAUACUUUUAGAAAAACUUCCACCAAAAAAAAAAAAAGAAUAUGUCUUAUCUUGCCUUUUCCAAGAAAAUGUUCUUUCAAAAACUAACUUCAUAAACCAACAGAUGAAACACAUAGAUUAAUAAAAAAGGUAACACAACAGCACACUCUAAUACGAACAUACAGCCAAAGAUAAAAUUACUGGGUCAGAUUAAAAAAAAAAAAGGAAGCGUAAGAAGUUCCAAACAUUCC